AUUGAACGCUGGCGGCACGCUUAACACAUGCAAGUCGAACGGUAACAUGUAUUGCACCUUAAUAUUUUUUUGAGAGAGAUGAUAUUAAGGUGCGAUAUGAUGACGAGUGGCGGACGGGUGAGUAACGCGUAGGAACCUACCUGAGAGAGGGGGAUACCACUGGGAAACUAGUGCUAAUACCGCAUAAGUUGUUUAUAUGAGAGUAUAGACAAGAAAGGUUUGGGAGCAGCAAUGCCCAGACGCUGACAGAGGGGCCUGCGUUGGAUUAGCUAGUUGGUAGGGUAAAGGCCUACCAAGGCAAAGAUCUAUAGCUGUUCUGAGAGGAAGAUCAGCCACACUGGGACUGAGACACGGCCCAGACUCCUACGGGAGGCAGCAGUGGGGAAUAUUGGACAAUGGGGGGAACCCUGAUCCAGCAAUGCCGCGUGCAGGAAGAAGG
RNAcentral lists this ribosomal RNA (439 nucleotides) under uncultured bacterium. RNAcentral's name for it is "bacterial SSU rRNA". It matches the Rfam family "Bacterial small subunit ribosomal RNA", at positions 30 to 414 of the family's 1533-position model. The record is from RNAcentral.